AAAACAUUAAGUCUGUGCUGAGAGAAAUCGACUUUGAGAGCGUUUUUAUGAUGCUGUUCUACUGAAGUUGCAUUAAAAAUGGAUUUACAUUUCCUUGGUUGUGGUGUGGAUGUUCAUCGAAGUCGACUAGAUUCCUUGAAAUAAAACAAGCUUCGUAGAUUGCUGGCGAACACCAAUUUUGUUUUUGUGGAGGAUAUCUUUAUUAUAUUGCUUACCAUAGGUCGAAAGUCGUAAA
This is a long non-coding RNA of Xenia sp. Carnegie-2017, 235 nucleotides long. RefSeq lists it as uncharacterized. The transcript is spliced from 2 exons. The record is from RefSeq and is a predicted model, not a curated record. Lineage: Eukaryota; Metazoa; Cnidaria; Anthozoa; Malacalcyonacea; Xeniidae.